UCAGCAGUCAGUGGUUGCCGGCAG
This 24-nucleotide non-coding RNA is filed under the name Mus musculus (house mouse). The record is from RNAcentral. Lineage: Eukaryota; Metazoa; Chordata; Mammalia; Rodentia; Muridae.